RNAcentral lists this ribosomal RNA (468 nucleotides) under uncultured bacterium. Its description in RNAcentral is "partial 16S ribosomal RNA". It matches the Rfam family "Bacterial small subunit ribosomal RNA", at positions 28 to 507 of the family's 1533-position model. The record is from RNAcentral.
GACGAACGCUGGCGGCGUGCUUAACACAUGCCAGUCGAACGGAAAGGCCCUGCUUUUGUGGGGUGCUCGAGUGGCGAACGGGUGAGUAACACGUGAGUAACCUGCCCUUGACUUUGGGAUAACUUCAGGAAACUGGGGCUAAUACCGGAUAGGAGCUCCUGCUGCAUGGUGGUGGUUGGAAAGUUUCGGCGGUUGGGGAUGGACGGGCGGCUUAUCAGCUUGUUGGUGGGGUAGUGGCUGACCAAGGCUUUGACGGGUAGCCGGCCUGAGAGCGUGACCGGGGACAAGAGGCCUGAGGUAGGGAGCAGAAGGGAACGGGAGGCAGCGGGGGGGAAUAUGGCAGAGCGGGGGGGAGUGAGAGAUGGAGGUGUUGCGAGCGGGAAGAUGGGUUACGGGGGGAAAACAGAUGUGGAAGGAGAUGAGGAGAGAGUGACGGUAAUUGGUAAAGAAGCAACGGCUAACUACGUG